Long non-coding RNA from Oncorhynchus keta (chum salmon), 1199 nucleotides. RefSeq lists it as uncharacterized. The transcript has 3 exons. The record is from RefSeq and is a predicted model, not a curated record. NCBI's taxonomy places the organism in Eukaryota, Metazoa, Chordata, Actinopteri, Salmoniformes, Salmonidae.
UUGAGGGCUACUCUGGAGUCAACUGUGAGAGGGGUAGGUAGUUCCUGUGUUGAGGGCUACUCUGGAGUCAACUGUGAGAGGGGUAGGUAGUUCCUGUGUUGAGGGCUACUCUGGAGUCAACUGUGAGAGGGGUAGGUAGUUACUGUGUUGAGGGCUACUCUGGAGUCAACUGUGAGAGGGGUAGGUAGUUACUGUGUUGAGGGCUACUCUGGAGUCAACUGUGAGAGGGGUAGGUAGUUCCUGUGUUGAGGGCUACUCUGGAGUCAACUGUGAGAGGGGUAGGUAGUUACUGUGUUGAGGGCUACUCUGGAGUCAACUGUGAGAGGGGUAGGUAGUUCCUGUGUUGAGGGCUACUCUGGAGUCAACUGUGAGAGGGGUGGGUAGUUACUGUGUUGAGGGCUACUCUGGAGUCAACUGUGAGAGGGGUAGGUAGUUCCUGUGUUGAGGGCUACUCUGGAGUCAACUGUGAGAGGGGUGGGUAGUUACUGUGUUGAGGGCUACUCUGGAGUCAACUGUGAGAGGGGUAGGUAGUUCCUGUGUUGAGGGCUACUCUGGAGUCAACUGUGAGAGGGGUAGGUAGUUACUGUGAGAGGGGUAGGUAGUUCCUGUGUUGAGGGCUACUCUGGAGUCAACUGUGAGAGGGGUAGGUAGUUCCUGUGUUGAGGGCUACUCUGGAGUCAACUGUGAGAGGGGUAGGUAGUUACUGUGUUGAGGGCUACUCUGGAGUCAACUGUGAGAGGGGUAGGUAGUUACUGUGUUGAGGGCUACUCUGGAGUCAACUGUGAGAGGGGUAGGUAGUUCCUGUGUUGAGGGCUACUCUGGAGUCAACUGUGAGAGGGGUAGGUAGUUACUGUGUUGAGGGCUACUCUGGAGUCAACUGUGAGAGGGGUAGGUAGUUCCUGUGUUGAGGGCUACUCUGGAGUCAACUGUGAGAGGGGUAGGUAGUUACUGUGUUGAGGGCUACUCUGGAGUCAACUGUGAGAGGGGUGGGUAGUUACUGUGUUGAGGGCUACUCUGGAGUCAACUGUGAGAGGGGUAGGUAGUUACUGUGUUGAGGGCUACUCUGGAGUCAACUGUGAGAGGGGUAGGUAGUUACUGUGUUGAGGGCUACUCUGGAGUCAACUGUGAGAGGGGUAGGUAGUUCCUGUGUUGAGGGCUACUCUGGAGUCAACUGUGAGAGGGGUAGGUUAGUUACUGUG